AUACGGAGGGUGCAAGCGUUGUCCGGAUUUAUUGGGUUUAAAGGGUGCGUAGGUGGUUUUUUAAGUCAGUGGUGAACGCCUACAGCUUAACUGUAGAGGUGCCAUUGAAACUGGGGAACUUGAGUAUGGACGAGGUAGGCGGAAUUUGUGGUGUAGCGGUGAAAUGCAUAGAUACCACAAAGAACACCGAUAGCGAAGGCAGCUUACUAGGCCAUAACUGACACUGAGGCACGAAAGUGUGGGGAGCGAACAGGAUUAGAUACCCAGGUAGUCC
RNAcentral lists this ribosomal RNA (274 nucleotides) under uncultured bacterium. RNAcentral describes it as "partial 16S ribosomal RNA". It matches the Rfam family "Bacterial small subunit ribosomal RNA", at positions 523 to 796 of the family's 1533-position model. The record is from RNAcentral.